AGAUUUUAGUCUCCCUUCUGUGCUCAUUUUGAAGUAACUUCACUAGGCACUGAACAGAAAUGACAGACGACCCGUUUUUCCUCCUGUUAUGCCAGAUUUGCCUCGGUGCGUGCACCUUGCAGAGAGCAGAAAACAACUUCCAGGUUCUACUCUUUGUUGAGAAGGAAUCUCAAGGCUCUUGCCUGUGGAGCUGCUAGGUCUGUAUGCACAGAGGCAACGAGCACAGCAGCAGAAGCAGAACUAACCUGCCCUUACAGCCCUGAGCAGUAUGUCCACACCGAGAGGAGUUGCCAGCAGAGCUAAGCUCCUCACAGCACAGCAGAAAGACCUACCUGUGCGCAGUGGGGCUCCCCCUUGCGAGCAGCUCGAUGCCCAAAGAUCACGGUGAGAACAAUCCAAGAGGCCAGCACAGCUCCUACACACACCUCCACACCAGCAGCCACCUUGACACACCGCCUA
Molecule: non-coding RNA, 459 nt
Organism: Anas platyrhynchos (mallard)
Lineage: Eukaryota; Metazoa; Chordata; Aves; Anseriformes; Anatidae
Source: RefSeq, a predicted model, not a curated record